UGCCCAGCAACUCCUAUCCCUACCUCCUCGUGGUACUGGCUGGGGUACGAGUAACCUUGGGGAAGAUUGGCUAACCAACCCCCGGUGGGAACUUUGGUCGUAUGCUGACAGGGAAAG
Molecule: non-coding RNA, 117 nt
Organism: Aedes aegypti (yellow fever mosquito)
Lineage: Eukaryota; Metazoa; Arthropoda; Insecta; Diptera; Culicidae
Source: Rfam